This 254-nucleotide ribosomal RNA is filed under the name uncultured bacterium. RNAcentral's name for it is "partial 16S ribosomal RNA". It matches the Rfam family "Bacterial small subunit ribosomal RNA", at positions 524 to 776 of the family's 1533-position model. The record is from RNAcentral.
UACGUAGGGGGCCAGCGUUGUCCGAAGUUACUGGGCGUAAAGAGCGUGUAGGCGGGUCUUUAAGUGAGAGGUGAAAGGUUCAGGGCUCAACCCGAACACUGCCUUUCAUACUGGGGACCUUGAGGGCGGGAGAGGCGAGUGGAAUGGUCGGUGUAGCGGUGAAAUGCGUAGAUAUCGAUCGGAACACCCAUGGCGAAGGCAGCUCGCUGGCCCGCAUCUGACGCUGAGACGCGAAAGCGUGGGGAGCAAACAGG